GAACACUACUGCAUCUAUCAAAAAUAUUGAGGUUCAGAUGGGUCAGAUAGCACAACAAAUAGCAGGUUCUCGAGCACAAGGUUCCCUAUAAAGUGAAACAAUACAAAAUCCUAGAAAUCAUGAGAAUGUUAAUGUUGUCACGACAAGAAGACAGAAAAUUGCUAAAGAUGAAGAAGAUAGGGCAACAAAGGAUGACCAUGUCAUAGAGGUAGUUCUGGAAGUAAGGGAAAAUAAGAAAAAGA
Molecule: long non-coding RNA, 242 nt
Filed under: Lathyrus oleraceus (garden pea)
Lineage: Eukaryota; Viridiplantae; Streptophyta; Magnoliopsida; Fabales; Fabaceae
Description: Pisum sativum (pea) long non-coding RNA (PSAT_LNC016577)
Source: RNAcentral